CAGUCGCCGCGGUAAUACGGAGGGGGCUAGCGCUGUUCGGAAUUACUGGGCGUAAAGCGUACGUAGGCGGCUUUGUAAGUUAGAGGUGAAAGCCCGGGGCUCAACCCCGGAAUUGCCUUUAAGACUGCAUCGCUUGAAUCGCGGAGAGGUGAGUGGAAUUCCGAGUGUAGAGGUGAAACUCGUAGAUAUUCGCAAGAACACCAGUGGCGAAGGCGGCUCACUGGCCCGAUACUGACGCUGAGGUGCGAAAGCGUGGGGAGCAAACAGGAUUAGAUACCCGGGUAGUCCCUGUCUCUUAUAA
This 301-nucleotide ribosomal RNA is filed under the name uncultured bacterium. RNAcentral's name for it is "partial 16S ribosomal RNA". It matches the Rfam family "Bacterial small subunit ribosomal RNA", at positions 509 to 809 of the family's 1533-position model. The record is from RNAcentral.